Molecule: long non-coding RNA, 588 nt
Filed under: Malus domestica (apple)
Lineage: Eukaryota; Viridiplantae; Streptophyta; Magnoliopsida; Rosales; Rosaceae
Description: long non-coding RNA (MDOM_LNC006569)
Source: RNAcentral
UCCAAAUCUCCAUGGCUCUGGCUCUCCAGAAUUUGGGUACAUGUGCAAUUGAUUGUUGCUGGAAGGAACAACUGGUACUUGGAUAUUUUCAUCAUCAACAUUGAUUGGAUUUGUGAAAGAACUGCCAGUGAGAUGAUUGAUUUUGUCUAAUCGUGUCUUUAUCUGUGAAUAUUCCAUUUGCGCAUUCUUGGAUCCAUCAUCUAAUAGUGAGCUUCCAUUCACUUGACGGUAAAAGUCCUGAAACAUGGUCGCUUUCUCCAUUUGUUGAUACGUUGAAAUGGAAAUGGGAAUCUUGUUGGGCUGGCAUCCAGUGAUAGGAUCUUCUGUUUCCAAGUUGGACACUUGGUACGAUCUGAUUCCUACAGCUCCUUGAGUGACUGAGGAUUCAAUAGAAUCUUGAGACGAUACAAAUUCUUCCUCAAAACAUUGGCUAUGUGCCUCAUCUAAAUUCCUUUCUGUCAAUGAGUUCACACUGUCUCUCUGAUUUUCUGCAGAUUCAUGGAGUGUCCUAGAAAUCUGGCAGUAGAUUGGUUGACUUGAUAUAUCUUUAUGCCAUUUGGUGGCAUCAUCUGGACUUGUCAUUCGAAC